Molecule: ribosomal RNA, 433 nt
Filed under: uncultured bacterium
Lineage: Bacteria
Description: partial 16S ribosomal RNA
Rfam family: Bacterial small subunit ribosomal RNA
Source: RNAcentral
AACGAACGCUGGCGGCAUGCCUAAUACAUGCAAGUCGAACGAACCCUUCCUAACUACUUGCCCUCGGUUACGUAACGUGUCGAACGGUUCACUAACGCUCGGAUUACCUCCCCCAUAGUGGUGCUAAUCCCUCGUAAUCGCCUCCUACCACCGCUUUAUCGCGUUUGUCGGAUCCUGCGUUGGAUUAGCUUGUGGCUAGGUAAAACGCCUACCAAGGCGACGAUGCAUAGAUCGUCUGAGAGGAUGAGCAGCCACACUGGGACGGGGACACGGCCCGGACUCUUACGGGAGGCAGCAGAGGGGAAUAGUGGACAAUGGGCGAAAGGCUGAUCCAGCAAGGCCGCGAGAGUGAUGAAGGCCUUAGGGUUGUAAAGCUCUUUUACCCGGGAUGAUAAUGACAGUACCGGGAGAAAAAGCUCCGGCUAACUCCGUG